This 400-nucleotide ribosomal RNA is filed under the name uncultured bacterium. Its description in RNAcentral is "bacterial SSU rRNA". It matches the Rfam family "Bacterial small subunit ribosomal RNA", at positions 43 to 447 of the family's 1533-position model. The record is from RNAcentral.
CAGGCCUAACCAUGCAAGUCGAGCGAUAACGCAGACAACCUUGUGCCUUGGGUGACGAGGGGGGACGGUUGACUAAUGCUUGGGAAUAUGCCAUAGGGUGGGGGACAAAGAUGGAAACGACUGCUAAUACCGCAUAACGUCUACGGACCAUAGGGGGGAUCUUCGGACCUCUCGCCCUAUGAUUAGCCCACGUGAGAUUAGCUAUUGGUAGGGUAAACGCCUACCAUCGCGACGAUCUCUACCUGGUAUGGGAUGUGAUCAGCCGCCAUGGGACUGAGACACGGACCACACUCCUACGGUAGGCGCGGUGGGGAAUAUUGUACAAUGGGGGAAACCCUGAUGACGCCGUGUCGGUGUGUCAAAAACGCCUUCGGGUAGUAAUGCACUUACGGUCGUGAGG